GGAUAGGUAGGAGCCGUAGAGAUCGGAACGCUAGUUUCGAUGGAGGCAUUGGUGGGAUACUACCCUAGCUGUAUGAACACUCUAACCCGCGCCACUGAUCGUGGCGGGAGACUGUGUCAGGUAGGCAGUUUGACUGGGGCGGUCGCCUCCUAAAAUGUAACGGAGGCGCCCAAAGGUUCCCUCAGAAUGGUUGGAAAUCAUUCGCAGAGUGUAAAGGUAGAAGGGAGCUUGACUGCGAGACUGACAAGUCGAGCAGGGACGAAAGUCGGGCUUAGUGAUCCGGUGGUUCCGUAUGGAAGGGCCAUCGCUCAAC
Molecule: ribosomal RNA, 313 nt
Filed under: Salmonella enterica subsp. enterica serovar Enteritidis
Lineage: Bacteria; Pseudomonadati; Pseudomonadota; Gammaproteobacteria; Enterobacterales; Enterobacteriaceae
Description: partial 23S ribosomal RNA
Rfam family: Bacterial large subunit ribosomal RNA
Source: RNAcentral